ACUCCCAAACCCCUGUGAACAUACCAAUU
This 29-nucleotide ribosomal RNA is filed under the name Fusarium verticillioides. RNAcentral's name for it is "partial 18S ribosomal RNA". The record is from RNAcentral. Lineage: Eukaryota; Fungi; Ascomycota; Sordariomycetes; Hypocreales; Nectriaceae. RNAcentral also lists the same sequence under 1 other name.